This 793-nucleotide ribosomal RNA is filed under the name actinomycete CXB639. RNAcentral describes it as "bacterial SSU rRNA". It matches the Rfam family "Bacterial small subunit ribosomal RNA", at positions 75 to 882 of the family's 1533-position model. The record is from RNAcentral. Lineage: Bacteria; Bacillati; Actinomycetota; Actinomycetes; Actinomycetales.
GCCCUUCGGGGUGGAUUAGUGGCGAACGGGUGAGUAACACGUGGGCAAUCUGCCCUUCACUCUGGGACAAGCCCUGGAAACGGGGUCUAAUACCGGAUAACACUCUGUCCCGCAUGGGACGGGGUUAAAAGCUCCGGCGGUGAAGGAUGAGCCCGCGGCCUAUCAGCUUGUUGGUGGGGUAAUGGCCUACCAAGGCGACGACGGGUAGCCGGCCUGAGAGGGCGACCGGCCACACUGGGACUGAGACACGGCCCAGACUCCUACGGGAGGCAGCAGUGGGGAAUAUUGCACAAUGGGCGAAAGCCUGAUGCAGCGACGCCGCGUGAGGGAUGACGGCCUUCGGGUUGUAAACCUCUUUCAGCAGGGAAGAAGCGAAAGUGACGGUACCUGCAGAAGAAGCGCCGGCUAACUACGUGCCAGCAGCCGCGGUAAUACGUAGGGCGCAAGCGUUGUCCGGAAUUAUUGGGCGUAAAGAGCUCGUAGGCGGCUUGUCACGUCGGAUGUGAAAGCCCGGGGCUUAACCCCGGGUCUGCAUUCGAUACGGGCUAGCUAGAGUGUGGUAGGGGAGAUCGGAAUUCCUGGUGUAGCGGUGAAAUGCGCAGAUAUCAGGAGGAACACCGGUGGCGAAGGCGGAUCUCUGGGCCAUUACUGACGCUGAGGAGCGAAAGCGUGGGGAGCGAACAGGAUUAGAUACCCUGGUAGUCCACGCCGUAAACGUUGGGAACUAGGUGUUGGCGACAUUCCACGUCGUCGGUGCCGCAGCUAACGCAUUAAGUUCCCCGCCUGGGGAGUA